AGUUGUUGUUGUUGUUGUGGCUGUUGUAAUAGUAGUAGUAGUUUUGCAGAAGUAGUUGUAGUAGUAGUAGUAGUACUAGUAGUAGAAGUAAUAGUAGUAACUUUCAAAGCAAUGUCUACAAGUUUAAAUUCCUUAACCCUGUUCAAGGUGUAUACACACUCAAUAUUUAACUACAGUCCAGGUUUGCAAUUAACAAACUAUCUGAUAAACCUGUGUGUGAGUCAGAUAUGUCUGCUGCUAAUCUAUUGGUUAUAAAAUAUCACAGCCUUUUCUGAUUGGCUGAGUUCAAAUACAGAAAGUUUACCUGUUAGAUUGAAAUUCUGGAGCAGGCGUAUUGUAAAAUAUGCAGGUUAAACUUGUUGUUAAAAUGAAGUUAAUGUAAUGUUCACAAACAGUAGAGUUAAUGAGUUUUUCCAUUAACAAGAAUUUCUUAAAAUAAUAAUGUAUGGAUAUCAUUUGGAAAGUGACAUGAAAUGUUGUUAAAAAGUGAUGCAUACAAGUGUUUCAGAAGUCUGUCUAGGAAUAGAACAACAACUGAAGCUGACCAGUUGAUGAAAGAUACUGCAGAGUUUGGCAGGGAAAUAACCCAAGACAGCAAAGCGGCUCUUUUGGCGCAUUUACUAAGAGGACUAACAUGGCCACAAAUUCAUGAGAUCAUGCAGGAGCCGUACAGUAUAACAGCAGUACAAGUUCUAUAAAAGAUCCACGACCUACUGAAGCCCAGCUAAUUACAAAAAAGUUUUUAAAAACUGUAAUUUUAUCCCACCUGGGUACUUAUAAUUUACAAAGCUGCCUACACAAGUUUUAGACUUGCAAUUAUAUUUUAAACUGUCACUUGGAAAGUAAUACAUGCACAUGCAUUAUGUUCUGAAUUUCUUUGAACAAUAAAAUUAUAUAAAAGUAUUUUAAUGAAAUUGAGCACCUAAAUUGCAUUAAAGUGAAAGUAGCUGAGAAAAAUAGUAUCCUUGUGCUCAUGGGCAGCUACAUAUAUUGUGUCAAACAUGAAUUAGCUAAAAUAACUUAAAUUUUUCAUUUUGUUUCUUGUAUAUCGUUUGUACAGGGUUCGUGAAUUGUUACUGUAUAUU
Molecule: long non-coding RNA, 1085 nt
Organism: Dreissena polymorpha
Lineage: Eukaryota; Metazoa; Mollusca; Bivalvia; Myida; Dreissenidae
Exons: 3
Source: RefSeq, a predicted model, not a curated record